RNAcentral lists this long non-coding RNA (1700 nucleotides) under Columba livia (rock pigeon). RNAcentral describes it as "partial uncharacterized LOC102086656, transcript variant X1". Lineage: Eukaryota; Metazoa; Chordata; Aves; Columbiformes; Columbidae. The record is from RNAcentral.
GAUACAUGUAGAGGUGAAGCCGAAUUCUGCAAACGCUAAUAAAUAAAUAAACAGCUGCGUCUGACACUGAGUUUGGCACCACCGGGGCUCAACUGAACUUCAGCCACUGUUGGUUUACCCAGACGAGAAAUUGAGGCACUGGGAGUGAAGCGAUGUCCCCAAGGUCACACAAUAGAGCAGAGGCAGCCAGCCUGGCCCCAGCCAUGGGUACCAUGUGCGCAGGCUUCCACCUACCAUCCGCCUUCCUGCCUCAUUUUGUACCUGCUAGCGGGUUACCUUCCACCAUCCCUGUGUCUUGCAGCUUUCUCAAAUCUAACCACACCGUCCCUGCGACCUGCCACACCAGGGAAGAAUAAAACCAGAAUGCAAGAAACUUAGGAAAACUUUUGCAGUGUGCCCAUGACCAUGCAUGAUUCCUCUGUCCCCUUGGAGUCUGACAACAAAAUUGAACGUGACGGGUGCCUGGAAGAAUCCUUCUGUGGAGACAGAGGUGGCAUUGGUGUUUCUUUGGUAGCAGACAAUUUGCCAGCUCCCUUUCAUCCCUCUCUGAACUAGCAACGCCUGUAAGUAUGUCAUCCCACUCUUCCUCUUAAUUCUCCAUUCAGAAAUCGCAAGUGAAUGUCGGAUGUCAGCCAGAUCCAGCAGAGCCAUCCCAGUUCACAUCAGCUGGUGCUCUGGCCCUGUGUUUGUGCACGCUGCUGGAUCGACGCUGCCGGGACGGGAAUUCCCUUGGUACAUGAGCUCGCAGCAAACCGUGGACUCUGGAAGUGGUGAUCAUUUGUCACAUCAGCCCUGCUGAGGAGGAAUCCGUCUCUCACAACUCAGAAAACCCUUUGCUCUCUGUUGGCAUCGAAUUCUCCCGGUGUCACACGCAGUUGCACCUCCAGGAGGUGUAAUUGCCGAGUCUGUUUAGAAGUCAAAAGCAAAACUCUGGCAAAUGCGGGUUCUGAUUCACACUGUAUUACACGAAAGGCUGUGAGGUGGAAGCUGAUUUCAGCUUCAUCUCUGAUCCGUUCCUCUGAUAGGGGUUUAUGCUCAGUAUGGCUUCGGUUAAAUCAGUCAGUGCUUACCUCGCUGAACAGUUUUCCAUCUCUUUUGACCAAAGCAUGCCUUACCUUCAAUGUGGGCUGAAACGAUGCUGGACAAGAAUUUAAAAACAAAAUAUGGGAAGCUCUUCAGGCCAUUCUUUUUUGGGGAUGCACACUGUUGUCUUGUACAAAAACUAAUCCCGACACAGCUUUCUUUCUAUUAAUCAUGUCAGAAUAGCUGCCAGAGAGGGACAGCUCUUAGCCAGCACCACCCUACCAGCAUUCAAAGAUCUGAACUGUUUUAGCAACCUCCAUGUGGAGGGGUUAAAAGCACAUUAAAAAUACUUUGAGAUGCCCUGUCCUAGUACUUGCAUUAAAAGUCUUAAGAAGUUUAAAAUCAUAAAGCAAGAGAAAAGGAAGCGUAUUUGAUAGUUUAAAACUGUACCCUACCCUGCUGAAUAAUCAAAGCUGAUAUUGAACAGGACAUGUAGGUUAAUUUUAUAGAAUUAUGGUCCUUUGGUUGGUUGGUGUUUCUAAGAAAGGAGGACAUAUUUCUGUAGGGGGAUUAUAACCUGGGGAAAACACUUUCGAUUACUUAGUGUGUGUGCUGAAUUAAUUUAUUUUUAUAUUAUAGAGCAACAAUUUUAAGAACCCAUCUUUUCUAAUAAAAUG